Long non-coding RNA from Alosa sapidissima (American shad), 98 nucleotides. RefSeq lists it as uncharacterized. The record is from RefSeq and is a predicted model, not a curated record. Lineage: Eukaryota; Metazoa; Chordata; Actinopteri; Clupeiformes; Clupeidae. The transcript has 3 exons.
CCUCUUGACUUCACCUGCCAACACUAACGUUAACGCAUCCCUUGUACUUGAACCACUUCCUGUCAGAUCGCGACAUAUGCUGUUAGCCGCUACAUAUA